CGGAGGAAAAGAAACUAACUAGGAUUCCCUUAGUAACGGCGAGUGAACCGGGAUGAGCUCAAAUUUGAAAUCUGGCGUCUUUCAGGCGUCCGAGUUGUAAUCUAUAGAGGCGUUUUCCGCGCCGGACCGCGUCCAAGUCUCUUGGAAUAGAGUAUCAAAGAGGGUGACAAUCCCGUACUUGACGCGACAACCGGUGCUCUGUGAUACGUUCUCAAUGAGUCGAGUUGUUUGGGAAUGCAGCUCUAAAUGGGUGGUAAAUUCCAUCUAAGGCUAAAUAUUGGCGAGAGACCGAUAGCGAACAAGUACCGUGAGGGAAAGAUGAAAAGCACUUUGGAAAGAGAGUUAAACAGCACGUGAAAUUGUUAAAAGGGAAACGAUUGAAGUCAGUCGUGUGGGAAGUAUUCAGCCGUCUCUGGCGGUGUAUUUGCUUCUCACGGGUCAACAUCAGUUUGAUCCGGUAGAAAAAGGCGGGAAGAAGGUGGCACCCUCGGGUGUGUUAUAGCUUCCUGUCAUAUGUGCCGGACCAGACUGAGGAACGCAGCUUGCAGCAAUGCCGGGGUUCGCCCACGUACAAGCUUAGGAU
This 583-nucleotide ribosomal RNA is filed under the name Vishniacozyma carnescens. RNAcentral's name for it is "partial large subunit ribosomal RNA". It matches the Rfam family "Eukaryotic large subunit ribosomal RNA", at positions 51 to 624 of the family's 3401-position model. Lineage: Eukaryota; Fungi; Basidiomycota; Tremellomycetes; Tremellales; Bulleribasidiaceae. The record is from RNAcentral.